AGUCGAACGGGAUUGGAGAGCUUGCUUUCCAUGAGAGUGGCGUACGGGCGCGUAACGCGUAUGCAACCUACCCUCAUCAGGGGGAUAUGCCGAAGAAAUUCGGAUUAACACCGCAUAAAAACACAACCUGGCAUCAGGAAAUGUUCAAAUAUUUAUAGGAUGAAGAUGGGCAUGCGUGUCAUUAGCUAGUUGGUGCGGUAACGGCUCACCAAGGCGACGAUGACUAGGGGAUCUGAGAGGAUGACCCCCCACACUGGUACUGAGACACGGGCCAGACUCCUACGGGAGGCAGCAGUAAGGAAUAUCGGUCAAUGGAGGCAACUCUGAACCAGCCAUGCCGCGUGCAGGAAGACAGCCCUAUGGGUAGUCAACUGCUUUUAUACGGGAAUAAACCCUGAUUCGUGAAUCGAGCUGAAUGUACCGUAAGAAUAAGGAUCGGCUAACUCCGUGCCAGCAGCCGCGGUAAUACGGAGGAUCCAAGCGUUAUCCGGAUUUAUUGGGUCUAAAGGGAGCGUGGGCGGCUUGUUAAGUCAGGGGUGAAAGACGGUGGCUCAACCAUCGCAGUGCCUUUGAUACUGACGAGCUUGAAUAUAGUUGAGGUAGGCGGAAUGUGACAAGUAGCGGUGAAAUGCAUAGAUAUGUCACAGAACAUUGCGAAGGCAGCUUACUAAGCUAUUAUUGACGCUGAGGCUCGAAAGCGUGGGGAUCAAACAGGGUUAGAUACCCUGGUAGUCCACGCCCUAAACGAUGAUAACUCGAUGUUGGCGAUAUACAGUCAGCGUCCAAGGCGAAAUGCGUUAAGUUAUCCACCUGGGGAGUACGCCCGUGAUUGUGAAACUCAAAUGAAUUGACGAUCUGCCCGCACAUAGGCGGAGGAGCAUGUGGUUUAAUUCGAUGAUACGCGAGGAACCUUACCCGGGCUUGAAAGCUACUGAAGAAUUUAGAGAUAGAUUCGUCCUUCGGGGCAGGAAACUAGGUGCUGCAUGGCUGUCGUCAGCUCGUGCCGUGAGGUGUUGGGUUAAGUCCCGCAACGAGCGCAACCCCUAUGACUGUACGACAGCACAUUAUGGUGGGGACUCUAAAAUCGUAGCCUGUGCUAACAGAGAGGAAGGAGGGGACGACGUCAAGUCAUCAUGGCCCUUACGUCCGGGGCUACACACGUGCUACAAUGGGAUGGUACAGAGGGCAGCUAGCGUAGCAUGAAGCAAAUCUCAAAAAGCCAUUCGCAGUUCGGAUCGGGGUCUGCAACUCGACCCCGUGAAGUUGGAUUCGCUAGUAGUCGCGUAUCAGCAAUGACGCGGUGAAUACGUUUCCCGGGUCCUUGUACGCAGCGGCCCGAUCAAGGCCAAUGGAAAGUUGGGGGUGGCUAAAGUCCGUAACCGUAAGGAGCGGCCUAGGGUAAAACCGAUAACUGGGGCUAAGUCGUAACAAGUUAACCGUA
This 1441-nucleotide ribosomal RNA is filed under the name uncultured Flavobacteriaceae bacterium. RNAcentral's name for it is "16S ribosomal RNA". It matches the Rfam family "Bacterial small subunit ribosomal RNA". The record is from RNAcentral. Lineage: Bacteria; Pseudomonadati; Bacteroidota; Flavobacteriia; Flavobacteriales; Flavobacteriaceae.